This 271-nucleotide small nuclear RNA is filed under the name Magnaporthiopsis poae ATCC 64411. RNAcentral describes it as "Magnaporthe poae ATCC 64411 a. fumigatus sRNA Afu_309". It matches the Rfam family "A. fumigatus sRNA Afu_309". The record is from Rfam by way of RNAcentral. Lineage: Eukaryota; Fungi; Ascomycota; Sordariomycetes; Magnaporthales; Magnaporthaceae.
UCCUUUCCUACACCAACGGAGCUGAAGCCCAGACGUCCGCUGCUCGUUCAGCGUCGAUAUCUGCGUGCACUUCGAUAUCCCAAGGAGUCAUCAAGACAAUUUUGGUGUCGUUCCAUCGACAGGUCCUAGAUUGAUCGAUGCCUGCUGGGCCAUGUUCGCCGUCAAAAGCUGAGCUAGGUUCCGGCAGGACUUUCGAAGAGGUUACAUUCCACUCCCCUUUUCCAAGAUCGUCGAUCGAUGAGGUUGGGGCAAACCGUAACUCGCUACAUCU